Molecule: long non-coding RNA, 104 nt
Organism: Haliotis rubra (blacklip abalone)
Lineage: Eukaryota; Metazoa; Mollusca; Gastropoda; Lepetellida; Haliotidae
Exons: 3
Source: RefSeq, a predicted model, not a curated record
GUUGAACGCAGAUGAAAAGUCAACGAAGAACAUUGUUCGUAUAUAUUCAAACAUAGCAAAGUUAUUCAAUAAAUAAAUUAAAAAGUGAAAAAUUGAGUUAUUCA